Molecule: non-coding RNA, 1926 nt
Organism: Myodes glareolus (Bank vole)
Lineage: Eukaryota; Metazoa; Chordata; Mammalia; Rodentia; Cricetidae
Source: RefSeq, a predicted model, not a curated record
AAGGCCCAGGGCGCCCCGCCUCUUACCGCACUAGCCAAUCAGCGGCGGGAUUUAGCCGGCUGUUCCGCGAGCGCGCCACCUCCCCGCCGCGCGCGGUGUGGCUGCCGCUUGGUCUUCCUGUCCCCCGUCUCCCCACCCCCGGGUAGGAAAUCUGGGGCUCCGCUACGCGGUGCAAACCGCAGACUGGAGGUUCUGUUUACAAGUUUGGAGAACAACGACAAGGAAUAGUCUCGGAGACCCUGCAUUAAGUAGCCGCCUCGCCGAGAAGGCAGAGUUGGGGACUGACGACUACCUGCCAUGUUUCUAAAGCCAGAGGACUUCCGCUUUACUUACCCGUUUAAAAACCUUCAACACAGGGACUUAACUUUAACUCAGCAGUUAAGACAGCUUGCCCUUGCAGGGGACAGACGUUGGAUCCCUGGUGCCCACAUGGAGUUUCCAGAAGAUCUGGUGCCCUCUUCUGACCUCUAUAGGCGCCGAGCAUGCAGGAAGUGGUAUCCCCAGGUGUAGCUGUUCCUACUGCGUGAUCCAGGAGAAAGUCCAGGGCAGCCCUUUCGAGUCAGACACCUGGAGAAUUGGCCCACGUUGGCUCUCACUGUGUACCUGAGAUUCCCCCCACACCCCUCCGAAACAGCUGCUUUCCAGAUGACGAAAUAAUCAUUCUAGUCUUAACAGGUUAGAACACUGCUGGCCGUUUUGCCGAUAGGGUAAAAUGUAAAACAAGAAAUACAAAGACUUGCAUUGGGUUUGACCGAAAGGGCCAGGCCAUGACAAGCAUCCCUUCAAUCACUGGAAAUCAACCAGGAGAAUCGGGUAAGAAGAAAUUGUGCUUUACCAUGCCUGAACUGGUAUGUAGACAAAAGGAAGUCCAUGGUGGUGAGGAACCUAGGAGCCAUGCUGCACAACAAAUAAUGAAGACACUGGACUAACUUGUGAUUCAUGAUGGUGAGGGGAAAGACUCCUAGAAAGCGUUCUGAAUCUCUCGUUUCAGGAACAUUUAUUUUUCCUUGGAAAAACAACAACCAAGAUCAUUCCUAUUCCUUAUCUACCCCUUCUUGUAUUCUGUCAUUCUCUUAUGUUAAUCGGCCACACCUAUCUUGUUGCAUUAUGUCCGUUAGUAAAUAAAUAUUUACGGCAGCUAGGAAUAGAAGCAUGCAAAUAGAAAUGCCACCAGGCAAGGCGAAUGGAUAGAUACAGCAUCUACACAGUCCUUCACCCAAUGUGGGACUUUCAGCGGCCACCAUGCUCGCCUGUUUUCUGCUCCUCCCUGCAAUGCAGCUGCGUACUGACUUCCUUAACAGAUGGAGGGAACGUUUCCCUCAACCUUUGAAUCUGGGCCGGCCUGUGACUUGUUUUGAACAGUAUCAGGCAACAGAUAAGACGUUGUAUCAGUUGGAGGCCUGUUAUGUCUGGGCAAGUGAGGUCAGCCUUUUGAGGGAUGAAGGAAAAUGGGCCACUGUGGGGUCAGUACUGUUCUCCAGGGGUCAGCCUUAGAUUUGUGUGAACACUCAGGUGAGAACAGACCGGCCUGACCCAGAUGAGAGAGCAUUGGCUAGUCUUUAGCCAGCAGGGGUAAAUGACUGUUUUGCCACAUUGAACUGGGGAACAAGUUGCCUUUAUUGUACAUGUGUUACAUGUUCUAUGUUAUAUACCAGAUCACUGAUACAGAUCUUACGGAGAGGCGGGGAGCAGAGAAUAUCAAAACUGAAUUCUAAACCAAAAAUCCUCAAGUGGAACAAGCCUAUUUCCCAUCCCCAAGGCAUUUGGUCUGGAACAUCUCUUCAAGGAAUGCCUUACCCUGUAUGUGCCUAUGACUUGCUCAUCAAAAGACUAGACAGGUAUGAGAUAUGGGGUAUUUCUUCACAGCCUUGAUCUGUUUCAACAUGGUAGCUAAAUAUCCAGCAAAUAAAUGUACAGCAAAAUGUU